GCGAGAGUAAUUGGAGUUCAUGCAAGUUAACCAGCUUACUCAGUAGCUGGGUGAAUUGCAGUACUCCAACAUUCUGC
Molecule: microRNA precursor, 77 nt
Filed under: Mus caroli (Ryukyu mouse)
Lineage: Eukaryota; Metazoa; Chordata; Mammalia; Rodentia; Muridae
Description: microRNA 3068 (MGP_CAROLIEiJ_G0007225.1)
Source: RNAcentral